ACGAACGCUGGCGGCAGGCCUCACCCAUGCCAGUCGAGCGAGGACUUCGGUUCUAGCGGCGGACGGGUGAGUAACGCGUGGGAAUGUGCCCUUCUCUACGGAAUAGCCCUGGGAAACUGGGAGUAAUACCGUAUACGCCCUAUUGGGGAAAGAUUUAUCGGAGAAGGAUCAGCCCGCGUUGGAUUAGGUAGUUGGUGGGGUAAUGGCCUACCAAGCCGACGAUCCAUAGCUGGUUUGAGAGGAUGAUCAGCCACACUGGGACUGAGACACGGCCCAGACUCCUACGGGAGGCAGCAGUGGGGAAUCUUAGACAAUGGGGGCAACCCUGAUCGAGCCAUGCCGCGUGAGUGAUGAAGGCCUUAGGGUUGUAAAGCUCUUUCAGCUGGGAAGAUAAUGACGGUACCAGCAGAAGAAGCCCCGGCUAACUCCGUG
RNAcentral lists this ribosomal RNA (432 nucleotides) under uncultured bacterium. RNAcentral describes it as "partial 16S ribosomal RNA". It matches the Rfam family "Bacterial small subunit ribosomal RNA", at positions 29 to 507 of the family's 1533-position model. The record is from RNAcentral.